AGAAACCGAGUCCAACCACCUAAGCUGAAGCAAAAAAAGGAAAAAAUUGCUUAUUUUCCAAAAGCAGCAAUGUGUUCUCGGAUCGAGUUCAACCUUCGGCUUCACGUUGUCCAUGCGAUGCAAUUCCAAAUCCCAAACCUAAGCUGAAGCAAAAAAAGGAAAAAAUUGCUUAUUUUCCAAAAGCAGCAAUGUGUUCUCGGAUCGAGUUCAACCUUCGGCUUCACGUUGUCCAUGCGAUGCAAUUCCAAAUCCCAAACGCGAUGAAUAAAAGUUCAGUGCGCCACAAACACGAUGCAAAGCUUCAAGCCUCAAAUCAAAUGCCACAGCUUCUUCUUCAUACACGAAAUCGAAGAUGAACCACAACGAACACGAUGAAUUCAACGACGAACACGACGAACUCAACAUUCAAUCAACGUCAACCUCCAAUCGUGAUUCAAACUCUAUGUGCACGGAAUCGAAAUGAAAACGGAAAGAAAACGACGAAGACUCACUGAAUCGGAACAUGUAUCGAUUUCUCUGAAUUGCUCUCUUUUCUUCUUCCUCUGUUUGAAUUGUAUGCGUGAAUUCUUGCGUGAAUUUUGAGUUUGUGUGUGAAUUUGUGAUUGCUGAACGAUUGUUGAUGCGUGAAUUCUUGCGUGCGCUUUGCUGAAUGCGUAUUGUUGAUAGAUUGUUGCAGUGUUUUUCUAUUGCGUGAUGCUUUCCUUAUUAUGAGAUUCUGUUAUGUUGUGAAAGAGUGAAGAAUCGUUUUCUAUGCGUGAUUUUUCCAUCCCUCUUGUUCGGAGAAAAUCAGUGAAUGAUGAAAAAAUGGACGAAUGAAAAAAAUGGAUUUGAUGGAAAAAAAGUGGAUCCCCGAUGAUACGUGAUGAUGUUGAAUUUAUAGAACUCAAUAUUAUGUUUGAAAUUCACAUGAAACUCAACUUGAAAUACAGUUUUCGGUUAGAAAUGAAAUAGUUAGUUCAAUCAAAAUUUAAUUGGAAUUCAAAGUGAAAUGUAAAUGUUAUUUGGUGUUGAUUAGUGUUAGUGAAUUUGAAAAUGAAAUCCAAGUGGAAUGAAGGUGAAAUGUCAAAUGAAAAUCGAAUUGUCAUGAAAUUAUUUGGACAUGAAUUUACUUGUGAGGAACUAGUAUUAAUGAAGGUAGGUUAAAAUGCAAGUUUUGUUUUGCGGACUUGGAUGAAAUUCUGAAAUGUAAUGUGUAGGUGAAAUCAAAAUGUUGUUUUGAACUACUUUGGUUUAUGCAGGUGUUUGAAAUGCAAGUCUUUAGCUACUGUUAUGCUCGAGUUUGGACAUGGAAACUGACUUGAGCUCAUGGAGCUCGUGAAAUUAGCCAUUGGAGCUUGGGCUGUUUUGUUAUGGUUCUGAGUUUUGUAUGAGCAGACAUGGGUUGUGGAAUGGCUAGGAUGGUUUUUAGUGCAUUGGCUUGGUGUAUUGGAUCAUGGUUGCUGUUGUAAUACAUUGGCUAUUGGUUUGGCUUUGGGAUUGGAUUAGAUGUUGAAUGUUUUUUUAGGGUUCAUUUUUGUAGUGAAUGUAAUUGGAAUUUUGUAUGAAAAUUGAAUUGUAGGUGAAUGUACAUUGGAAUUGUUGUAGUUGGAAAUGGUUGUAAUAUAUUUAUGGAAUUGUAAUAUGAUGAACUUGUAUGAAAGUGUUGAAUUGAAAUGUAAUAAAAAUGGUUGUGUAAUGAGAUGAUAUGCUAUAAGUUAGGCUU
This 1702-nucleotide long non-coding RNA is filed under the name Lathyrus oleraceus (garden pea). Its description in RNAcentral is "Pisum sativum (pea) long non-coding RNA (PSAT_LNC031582)". Lineage: Eukaryota; Viridiplantae; Streptophyta; Magnoliopsida; Fabales; Fabaceae. The record is from RNAcentral.